UCCCGCCUAGAAUUUUAUAAGUGAAGUUCCGAUUUGCCCUUAUUCCUUACGCGUGAAAUUCGUUCUUUUGCUUAACAGUCGCAAUUUCUUCUUAUCAAUCCCUUUAAACGUGGAGGUAAAUUGGAUUUAAAUCAUGCGUUAUCUUUCUCUUCAGUAACCAAAAUCUCUUGAAAUCGUGGAGCAAAUCAUCUCCAAAAUUGAAUGAUAAGAGAAUAUAUUUUCUUAGUCAUCACCACCACACCAUUACUGCUUUAUCACGAUUGCUACUACACCGUUUUCACCACCGCCUCCAUUCUUUUUCAGCACCAACGUUUACCUAGAGAUGACACGUUUGCUCGAAAAAUAUUUAAUCAACCAGAGGAAUCGAUGUUCAAGGCUAACAUAAAGUAGAAGAAACGGCACCAGGUACCAUAUAACAACUUGGAUGAUUUUAUCCCUUUGCGAAAGUAUCCUAAGCUAUAACGAUACUCUUGCAACAUGCCAAUCCGAGCUAGAAGCUACAAAGUUAGAAGUUCAGAAGUGGUUUGCUUCAUGUUGCUCAAAUGCAGGUAACUUAAUGUAGUUAUCUAAAUCAAAAUGUCAUUUUAAUGUAGUUGGCUUGCUUCAUGUUUCUCAAAUUUUCUGUUUUUGUAUAAAAAUCAAUUGUUAUGUUGCGAGGAACCCUUGGCGUCUCUGCCUGCUCAUCCACGAGGCAUGCUUGAAUCUGAUGUGGAACCCCUUUAUAUCAAGUUUUGCUGCUACUCACCAUUAGAUCAAAUUGAGAGUGCAUCUACACCAUAUUUACAAUUUUCUGUUAUGAAUUGGUUCAAAAAAUGGAUAUUUUUUGCUUGGAGUGUUAGCCUCUCAUGACGAUUUCCUUUAAGGUCCUUGAUACUUUUCUUAGAGAUAUAGCUUAGGAAAUAUGGUGUCUUUUAUCCCUUGUGACUUGGAGAAUGAAAAAUAUGUUCGGUAAUAGUGAUGAAACGAGCCUUGUACAUGGUGGUUUUGGUUCCAGUUAUGAGAUUAAGUUUUCUUUUAUAGUUCUCGAUGGAGAUUCAAAUGGUAAUACGUACCUAUAUGUAUCAACUUAUGUUUUACUUGGUGACUUUGGAUGUAAUUACUUAAGCAAUACGCUUUCAUUUCA
This is a non-coding RNA of Lactuca sativa (garden lettuce), 1123 nucleotides long. Lineage: Eukaryota; Viridiplantae; Streptophyta; Magnoliopsida; Asterales; Asteraceae. The record is from RefSeq and is a predicted model, not a curated record.